Molecule: ribosomal RNA, 497 nt
Filed under: uncultured bacterium
Lineage: Bacteria
Description: partial 16S ribosomal RNA
Rfam family: Bacterial small subunit ribosomal RNA
Source: RNAcentral
GAUGAACGCUGGCGGCGUGCUUAAUACAUGCAAGUCGAGCGAAUAGACGAGGAGCUUGCUCUUCUGACGUUAGCGGCGGACGGGUGAGUAACACGUGCAUAACCUACCUAUAAGACUGGGAUAACUUCGGGAAACCGGAGCUAAUACCGGAUAAUAUAUUGAAUCGCAUGGCUCAAUAGUAAAAGACGGUUUUGCUGUCAAUUAUAGAUGGAUCCGUGUAGCAUUAGUUAGUCGGUAAGGUAACGGCUCACCAAGUCAACGAUGCGUAGCUGACCUGAGAGGGUGACUGGCAACACUGGAACUGAGACAGGGUCCAGCCUCCUACGGGAAGCAGCGCUGUGGAGUCUUCCGCAAGGGGCGGAAGCAUGACGGGGCAACGCCAAGUGCGGGAUGAAAGUCUUCGGAUCGUAAAACUCUGCUAUUAGGUAAGAACAAAUGAGUGAGUAACUAGGCACGUCUUGACGGUACCUAAUCAGAAAGCCGCGGCUAACUACGUG